UUGUUACGACUUAGCCCCAGUCAUCGGUUUUACCCUAGGCCGAUCCUUGCGGUUACGGACUUUAGGUACCCCCAACUCCCAUGGCUUGACGGGCGGUGUGUACAAGGCCCGGGAACGUAUUCACCGCGCCAUGGCUGAUGCGCGAUUACUAGCGAAUCCAGCUUCACGAAGUCGGGUUGCAGACUUCGAUCCGAACUGAGACAUGGUUUGGAGAUUAGCAUCCUGUCGCCAGGUAGCUGCCCUUUGUCCAUGCCAUUGUAACACGUGUGUCGCCCCGGAUGUAAGGGCCGUGCUGAUUUGACGUCAUCCCCACCUUCCUCACAGCUUACGCUGGCAGUCUCUUUAGAGUCCUCAGCUCGACCUGUUAGUAACUAAAGAUAAGGGUUGCGCUCGUUAUGGCACUUAAGCCGACACCUCACGGCACGAGCUGACGACAACCAUGCAGCACCUCGCAAAUUGCUAUUGCUAGAAAGAGUGUUUCCACUCCGGUCAAAAUGCGUUCAAACCCGGGUAAGGUUCCUCGCGUAUCAUCGAAUUAAACCACAUGUUCCUCCGCUUGUGCGGGCCCCCGUCAAUUCCUUUGAGUUUCACCGUUGCCGGCGUACUCCCCAGGUGGAUUACUUAACGCUUUCGCUGUGCCGCUUACUGUGUAUCGCAAACAGCUAGUAAUCAUCGUUUACUGCGUGGACUACCAGGGUAUCUAAUCCUGUUUGAUCCCCACGCUUUCGUGCUUCAGUGUCAGUUAUGGUUUAGUAAGCUGCCUUCGCAAUUGGAGUUCUGCGUGAUAUCUAUGCAUUUCACCGCUACACCACGCAUUCCGCCUACCUCAAACAUACUCAAGUCUUCCAGUUUCAACGGCAAUUUUAUGGUUGAGCCACAAACUUUCACCGCUGACUUAAAAAACCACCUACGCACCCUUUAAACCCAAUAAAUCCGGAUAACGCUCGGAUCCUCCGUAUUACCGCGGCUGCUGGCACGGAGUUAGCCGAUCCUUAUUCAUAGGGUACAUACAAAACGGGACACGUCCUGCACUUUAUUCCCCUAUAAAAGAAGUUUACGAACCAUAGAUCCUUCAUCCUUCACGCGACUUGGCUGGUUCAGGCUCUCGCCCAUUGACCAAUAUUCCUCACUGCUGCCUCCCGUAGGAGUCUGGUCCGUGUCUCAGUACCAGUGUGGGGGACCUUCCUCUCAGAACCCCUAUCCAUCGUAGACUUGGUGAGCCGUUACCUCACCAACUAUCUAAUGGAACGCAUGCCCAUCUAUCAGCGAUAAAUCUUUAACAAAUAUCCCCAUGCGGGACCCCUGUUUUAUGCGGUAUUAGUCCGACUUUCGCCGGGUUAUUCCCCUCUGAUAGGUAGGUUGCAUACGCGUUACUCACCCGUGCGCCGGUCGCCGACAGAGUAUUGCUACCCCUCGCUGCCCCUCGACUUGCAUGUGUUAAGCCUGUCGCUAGCGUUCAUCCUGAGCCAGGAUCAAACUCUAUUGAUCCUGGCUCAGGACGAACGCUGGCGGCGUGCCUAAUACAUGCAAGUCGAGCGGACUUUAAAAGCUUGCUUUUAAAGUUAGCGGCGGACGGGUGAGUAACACGUGGGCAACCUGCCUGUAAGACUGGGAUAACUUCGGGAAACCGGAGCUAAUACCGGAUAAUYCUUUYCMYCSCAUGRKGRAAAGCUGAAAGACGGCAUCUCGCUGUCACUUACAGAUGGGCCCGCGGCGCAUUAGCUAGUUGGUGAGGUAACGGCUCACCAAGGCAACGAUGCGUAGCCGACCUGAGAGGGUGAUCGGCCACACUGGGACUGAGACACGGCCCAGACUCCUACGGGAGGCAGCAGUAGGGAAUCUUCCGCAAUGGACGAAAGUCUGACGGAGCAACGCCGCGUGAGUGAUGAAGGUUUUCGGAUCGUAAAGCUCUGUUGUUAGGGAAGAACAAGUACAAGAGUAACUGCUUGUACCUUGACGGUACCUAACCAGAAAGCCACGGCUAACUACGUGCCAGCAGCCGCGGUAAUACGUAGGUGGCAAGCGUUGUCCGGAAUUAUUGGGCGUAAAGCGCGCGCAGGCGGUCCUUUAAGUCUGAUGUGAAAGCCCACGGCUCAACCGUGGAGGGUCAUUGGAAACUGGGGGACUUGAGUGCAGAAGAGAAGAGUGGAAUUCCACGUGUAGCGGUGAAAUGCGUAGAGAUGUGGAGGAACACCAGUGGCGAAGGCGACUCUUUGGUCUGUAACUGACGCUGAGGCGCGAAAGCGUGGGGAGCAAACAGGAUUAGAUACCCUGGUAGUCCACGCCGUAAACGAUGAGUGCUAAGUGUUAGAGGGUUUCCGCCCUUUAGUGCUGCAGCAAACGCAUUAAGCACUCCGCCUGGGGAGUACGGCCGCAAGGCUGAAACUCAAAGGAAUUGACGGGGGCCCGCACAAGCGGUGGAGCAUGUGGUUUAAUUCGAAGCAACGCGAAGAACCUUACCAGGUCUUGACAUCCUCUGACACUCCUAGAGAUAGGACGUUCCCCUUCGGGGGACAGAGUGACAGGUGGUGCAUGGUUGUCGUCAGCUCGUGUCGUGAGAUGUUGGGUUAAGUCCCGCAACGAGCGCAACCCUUGAUCUUAGUUGCCAGCAUUAAGUUGGGCACUCUAAGGUGACUGCCGGUGACAAACCGGAGGAAGGUGGGGAUGACGUCAAAUCAUCAUGCCCCUUAUGACCUGGGCUACACACGUGCUACAAUGGAUGGUACAAAGGGCAGCAAAACCGCGAGGUCGAGCAAAUCCCAUAAAACCAUUCUCAGUUCGGAUUGUAGGCUGCAACUCGCCUACAUGAAGCUGGAAUCGCUAGUAAUCGCGGAUCAGCAUGCCGCGGUGAAUACGUUCCCGGGCCUUGUACACACCGCCCGUCACACCACGAGAGUUUGUAACACCCGAAGUCGGUGGGGUAACCUUUU
Molecule: ribosomal RNA, 2930 nt
Filed under: Niallia nealsonii
Lineage: Bacteria; Bacillati; Bacillota; Bacilli; Caryophanales; Bacillaceae
Description: bacterial SSU rRNA
Rfam family: Bacterial small subunit ribosomal RNA (bases 1475-2930)
Source: RNAcentral